Molecule: long non-coding RNA, 1416 nt
Organism: Armigeres subalbatus
Lineage: Eukaryota; Metazoa; Arthropoda; Insecta; Diptera; Culicidae
Exons: 3
Source: RefSeq, a predicted model, not a curated record
CCCACACUGGGACAGAGCCGCCUCGCAGCUUAGUGUUCAUUGAGCACUUCCACAGUUAUUAAUUGCGAGGUUUCUAAGCCAGGUUACUGAUGUGUUUGAAUUCUGCGUGUAUCGACAUAACGCAUUCUGAUGUCGAUGUUUAACGAAUACCAUCUGCGAUGUUUUCGAAUAACGUUAAGAGAAGAGAAUUGAUUAUAUGAAAUGAAUAAAGCUGAUAGCUCAGUUUAGAUUGAGUCCUCACGAAGAUCAAACGUACUUUUUAAUUAUUCUUUAAAUCACGGUGACAACAAGCCUUGUAGUAGAUAGUUCAGUUUGGCGACGAGGAAAAGUGGAAUCAUCUUGAAGCGGCAUUAUAAACGAACAAAGACCUUUGGCUUCAAUCCGGCGCGACGCCAUCUCCUGCAUGCGACAAUCUACUGAAGUUUCGGAAGACGAUCGACAAGUUGUUGCUCAAUUGAAGGAUAAGAAAUCGGUAUCCAGUUUCUUCUGUUCAGCUCCAGUCCUGUGAUUCAAAAGUGAUUGUGUCCUGACAGCUAUUGUUCGCCAUCGCUGAAAUUGGUUUAAUGGUGUGAGUCACGACUGAUUGGCUAUUCCCCUGAUACUAAAUUUCGAUCCGAGGGAUUUCGAGUUCCGAGAGAGCGAUUCCAAGCAGGUAUCAGCGGCCCGAUACGUCAACUGACGGCUCGUGUGUGGUUGAUUGACCCCGAGUAGACCCCUCAAAGAAUCGGCAAAGGCUGACGGAGUUUCUGGUACUAAUUGGAAACGUGGUAACCACAGCUCAUCGAGGGCAGCUACGCAUCUGUAAACAUGGGGAAUCCUAUGAAAGACCAAAUGUUGUUUGCCGCCGGCAACAGCCGGAACCAGAUGCCGUCGACGAGGAAUUUCAAGGCUUUCCGGAGGAGGAAAUCAGGCAAAGUAGAAAGCGAAAGAUGAAGUUUGAUGAAGCGAUGCAAGAGGUUGAAAAGUCAACCGAAGACGCUCCGAGGCGUUUGAAAAGAAUACGUCGACAAGUAAACGAUGGUGACUUUGUAUACCGUCAUCGUUAAAGUGUUAAUUGACCACGUUCUGAAUUGUAAUAUUGUUUUUCUUUGAAUUAUGAAUUCAAUCGAGUUGUUAUUAUUAUGUAUGUAUAGUUCUUAAUCGUAAGUGAAAAUAAUCUUUAUGAAUUGACAGUCUUUCCAUUCUUGAAAAGGGAAGAGCUGAUGUGUUUGAAUUCUGCGUGUAUCGACAUAACGCAUUCUGAUGUCGAUGUUUAACGAAUACCAUCUGCGAUGUUUUCGAAUAACGUUAAGAGAAGAGAAUUGAUUAUAUGAAAUGAAUAAAGCUGAUAGCUCAGUUUAGAUUGAGUCCUCACGAAGAUCAAACGUACUUUUUAAUUAUUCUUUAAAUCACGGUGACAACAAGCCUUGUAGUAGA